Molecule: ribosomal RNA, 280 nt
Filed under: uncultured bacterium
Lineage: Bacteria
Description: partial 23S ribosomal RNA
Rfam family: Bacterial large subunit ribosomal RNA
Source: RNAcentral
CUAAGUAUAUUGUAUGUUGCCCGUACCGUAAACCGACACAGGUGGGUGGGAUGAGUAUUCUAAGGCGCGUGGAAGAACCCUGGUUAAGGAACUCUGCAAACUAGCACCGUAUCUUCGGUAUAAGGUGUGCCUACUUUGGUAUAUGGACUUGCUCCAAAAAGCUAGAGAGGUUGCAACAAAGAGUCCCUCCCGACUGUUUACCAAAAACACAGCACUUUGCUAACACGUAAGUGGAUGUAUAAGGUGUGACGCCUGCCCGGUGCUCGAAGGUUAACUGAUG